AGCAGCUGGGCAUUUAACAGACGGACCACCCAGGAGCCUUAGGAACACCCGUUUUUUUAUAACUUGUUCUGAUAGAGGUACUUAUCAAACAUUUACAAAGUGUCGAUUUGGGGAAAAUAAAUAAGACGAGGAUAUCAGGUCAGAAAUGCACAACUAAUUGGGGCGCCUGACUGGCUCCGUCGGAAGAACAUGCGACUCUUGAUCUUGGAGUCGUGAGUU
This is a long non-coding RNA of Mustela erminea (ermine), 219 nucleotides long. RefSeq lists it as uncharacterized. The transcript is spliced from 3 exons. The record is from RefSeq and is a predicted model, not a curated record. NCBI's taxonomy places the organism in Eukaryota, Metazoa, Chordata, Mammalia, Carnivora, Mustelidae.